UACGUAGGGGGCAAGCGUUGUCCGGAAUCAUUGGGCGUAAAGCGCGUGUAGGCGGCCCGGUAAGUCCGCUGUGAAAGUCGGGGGCUCAACCCUCGAAUGCCGGUGGAUACUGUCGGGCUAGAGUGCGGGAGAGGCGAGUGGAAUUCCUGGUGUAGCGGUGAAAUGCGCAGAUAUCAGGAGGAACACCGAUGGCGAAGGCAGCUCGCUGGGACGGUACUGACGCUGAGGUGCGAAAGCGUGGGGAGCAAACAGG
This 253-nucleotide ribosomal RNA is filed under the name uncultured bacterium. RNAcentral's name for it is "partial 16S ribosomal RNA". It matches the Rfam family "Bacterial small subunit ribosomal RNA", at positions 524 to 776 of the family's 1533-position model. The record is from RNAcentral.